CAGAGCCGCGGUAAUACGGAGGGUGCAAGCGUUAAUCGGAAUUACUGGGCGUAAAGCGCACGCAGGCGGACUGACAAGUCAGAUGUGAAAUCCCCGGGCUUAACCUGGGAACUGCAUUUGAAGCUGUCAGGCUGGAGUCUUGUAGAGGGGGGUAGAAUUCCAGGUGUAGCGGUGAAAUGCGUAGAGAUCUGGAGGAAUACCGGUGGCGAAGGCGGCCCCCUGGACAAAGACUGACGCUCAGGUGCGAAAGCGUGGGGAGCAAACAGGAUUAGAUACCCGCGUAGUCCCUGUCUCUUAUACA
RNAcentral lists this ribosomal RNA (301 nucleotides) under uncultured bacterium. Its description in RNAcentral is "partial 16S ribosomal RNA". It matches the Rfam family "Bacterial small subunit ribosomal RNA", at positions 509 to 808 of the family's 1533-position model. The record is from RNAcentral.